AGAGUUUGAUCCUGGCUCAGGAUGAACGCUAGCGGCAGGCUUAAUACAUGCAAGUCGAACGGGAUUCRRGGUAGCAAUACUUUGAUGAGAGUGGCGCACGGGUGCGUAACGCGUAUGCAACCUACCUUUAACAGGGGAAUAGCCCCGAGAAAUCGGGAUUAAUACUCCGUAACAUUGCGGGAUGGCAUCAUUCUGCAAUUAAAGAUUUAUCGGUUAAAGAUGGGCAUGCGUGACAUUAGCUGGUUGGUGAGGUAACGGCUCACCAAGGCAACGAUGUCUAGGGGUCCUGAGAGGGUUAUCCCCCACACUGGUACUGAGACACGGACCAGACUCCUACGGGAGGCAGCAGUAAGGAAUAUUGGUCAAUGGGCGCAAGCCUGAACCAGCCAUGCCGCGUGCAGGAAGACGGCCCUAUGGGUUGUAAACUGCUUUUGUCAGGGAAUAAACCUGUCUACGUGUAGGCAGCUGAAGGUACCUGAAGAAUAAGCAUCGGCUAACUCCGUGCCAGCAGCCGCGGUAAUACGGAGGAUGCAAGCGUUAUCCGGAUUCAUUGGGUUUAAAGGGUGCGCAGGCGGAUUGUUAAGUCAGGGGUGAAAUCCUACAGCUCAACUGUAGAACUGCCCUUGAUACUGUCAGUCUAGAGUAUAGUUGAAGUGGGCGGAAUGUGUCAUGUAGCGGUGAAAUGCUUAGAUAUGACACAGAACACCGAUCGCGAAGGCAGCUCGCUAAGCUAUAACUGACGCUCAUGCACGAAAGCGUGGGGAUCAAACAGGAUUAGAUACCCUGGUAGUCC
Molecule: ribosomal RNA, 793 nt
Filed under: uncultured bacterium
Lineage: Bacteria
Description: bacterial SSU rRNA
Rfam family: Bacterial small subunit ribosomal RNA
Source: RNAcentral